This 352-nucleotide long non-coding RNA is filed under the name Homo sapiens (human). RNAcentral describes it as "non-protein coding lnc-PPIAL4F-2:1". The record is from RNAcentral. Lineage: Eukaryota; Metazoa; Chordata; Mammalia; Primates; Hominidae.
AGAUUAUUAGUGGAGAUCCCGUAGGACGAUAGAAUCUCAAGAGCAGAGCCUACCAGGAAGUAGAGUGAAGCCUACAACUUCCUCAGCCAUGAGGACCCAACAAUCCACUGGGGAGUGCUGGUUUGCCACAAAACUCCAUCGUAACUGAAAGAGGAAACCGUAACCUUGCACUGUGAGGUGCUCCAUCUGCCUGGGAGCAGCUCCACACAGUGGUUUCUCAAUGGCACAGCCACUCAGACCUCGACCCCCAGCUACAGAAUCACCUCUGCCAGUGUCAAUGACAGUGGUGAAUACAGGUGCCAGAGAGGUCUCUCAGGGCGAAGUGACCCCAUACAGCUGGAAAUCCACAGAG